Molecule: unclassified non-coding RNA, 240 nt
Filed under: Archaeospora ecuadoriana
Lineage: Eukaryota; Fungi; Glomeromycota; Glomeromycetes; Archaeosporales; Archaeosporaceae
Description: partial contains 5.8S ribosomal RNA and internal transcribed spacer 2
Rfam family: 5.8S ribosomal RNA (bases 1-71)
Source: RNAcentral
GUGAAUCAUCGAAUCUUUGAACGCAUAUUGCACUCCCUGGUAUUCCGGAGAGUAUGCCUAUUUGAGGGUCAUUUGAAAUAAUAUAAAUUUCGAUAGGUUCUUGGAAUCAAAUAUGGGACGGUCCAGCAGUCGUUUGGUGGUCGCCUAAAAUGCAAGACAAGCCCAUUUCUUGGGCUGCGUGAUACUUUCAGUUACCUCGUGACUUCACAAUGAAUCUUUGAUCGUGUUAGGAAUUGUGCA